Molecule: unclassified non-coding RNA, 169 nt
Filed under: soil metagenome
Description: partial internal transcribed spacer 1
Source: RNAcentral
CAAAUCCAUCACGUCUCCUCAUCCGAGACCACGUUGAAAUGUUCCCCAGGUCAGGCUGCUGUCGUCACUCUGUGGCGGCACGCCUGGUCUGGGCUGUUAAACUAGUGUUUCCUUGUUGCUCAAUUGUAUACUGGUGCUCAUCUACCCGAUGACGCUUGACAACAAAGUA